GUUGCCAGAAAAAUACAUCAGCAACAGUGUCAAAAAGUAUGCUGAAUGUGCCAAAGAAUAUCAUUAUUCAGUUACAAAGGUCCACAAGUACACAGAGAAAAGUGCUAAAGCAGAUAGAACUCCAUUUCAGGAUUGAUUUAAAAAAGAUUAUGUUGAGGACAAUAAUGGUCAAGAAGUCAAGGCUGACCUUUUUGCAGUGAUAGUCCACAAAGGGGGAACUUUAAAAAGUGGGCAUUAUUAUGCAUAUAUACAGUUUGGAGGACACUGGUAUUGUGUAGAUGACAUGAGGGUUUGUAUAACAAUUAAAAACUUAAGACUUACAGGAACAGACACAAAAUAUGUUUACUAAUUAGUA
Long non-coding RNA from Mytilus californianus (California mussel), 355 nucleotides. RefSeq lists it as uncharacterized. The transcript has 3 exons. The record is from RefSeq and is a predicted model, not a curated record. Lineage: Eukaryota; Metazoa; Mollusca; Bivalvia; Mytilida; Mytilidae.